This 3253-nucleotide long non-coding RNA is filed under the name Sorghum bicolor (sorghum). RNAcentral's name for it is "long non-coding RNA (SBIC_LNC002382)". Lineage: Eukaryota; Viridiplantae; Streptophyta; Magnoliopsida; Poales; Poaceae. The record is from RNAcentral.
CGGGCUCGCGGCUCCGUCCAUCCCCGCCCGCCGCCGGCAAUGUGCCGUCCGCGGCCGUCGGGGUCUACUCCCAGUCUGACAAAGCCAUCGUCAGUGCGUGCAACGUCGCCGAUGAACAAGAGGACAAGGAAGUCUCCGGUCCACCCCAGCGGCACCGUGGACGGCUGACCACUUCACCAGCCAUGGCGACGCAGGUACGUUGCCCAGAUGGAGGAGAAAGGCGAGGUCCGGUUUGCGUCCCGGGUGUGGCGUUUCCGUGUAGUAGCGGCCAGCGAGCAAGCUAGGUGAGUCUUGAAUCACCCUAAGUGUUUUUUACAUGCUUCAAUGUUCGCACUCAUCAGUUUGCCAGGUUGCCAUUCCUCCAAAAAUGUAUGUGCAUAGUAUCCCUCUGUGUCAAUGUUAACGAGUCUAGAAUGAAUGAGGGGAGUGAUGGCACUUUUAGAAGUUCCAUAUUAAUGCAAGUAAAUCUUCUGAAGGUAGGAGGAUUUCUGUGUUUUGGUCAACAGAACGCUACCAGGAGCUGUCCUUCAGUUUUGGAAACAAAUAUGCAUAUGAAUUCAGCUUAUCUAAAAUUUCAUCUGGAACCUUUAGUGAUUAGUGAGCCUUAGCUUUGCAAUCAUAUGGGUUGAAUGUAACUGCAAAAGAUGCGUAUUCAAAUAGGUUAUGUGGAAAAUAAUAUACUACAAGACAAGUUUAUAUUGAGCUAUCCCUCCAAGCUUGUGUUAAGUCAUUAAGUGCUGCAAAUAUUAUAGGCCAUUUCAUAAUCAGAUAAUGUUAAAUAAGGGAGAGAAUGUAGCCGACCAGCUUCAGCUAUGGCAAUAAAACUCUAACAAUAUUAGCAGUUACAACACCCACCGUUUGAGGAGAAAGCAAGAAGAACUGCUAGUGCAUAUAUCUUAGUCAGGCGCUGUGCUAAGAUCUCACAGUUAACAUAGAAAGCUGGAAGGAUUGGCUGCUGACUCCUCUGCAAAAAAAGAAAAAAACAGACAGAAUGCUGUCGCGGAUGAAUAAAGUUCAACAGUUAAUUAGUUUAUGUACUACUAUACUAGUAUGGUACAUUGGUACUCCCUCCAUUCCUACUUAUAAUUCACUUUGGCUUUGUCCUAACUCAAAGCUCUCUAAUUUUGACCAAGUUUUUAGAAAAAAUAUUAAUAAGAUCAAAUAAAUGCACUAUUAAGACAUAUUAUGGUGAUUUUGACGAAACUAAUUUGAUAUUAAUAUAUUAUAAGUGUUGAUGUAUUUUUUUAAUAGACUUCAUCAAAGUUUGUGAGGUUCGACUGAGGGUAAAACUAAAGUGAACCCUAAUUUGAAAUGGUGGGAGUAAAGUACGAAAUAUUUUAUUUUGUAAGUAUAUUAUAUAAUAAUAUACUCACAUGAACAGUAUAAGUAAUUUUGUACUCUCUUCGUUCUUUUUAGGUGUGAUGUUUUUUUUACUUCUUUGCAGUCUAGAAUAUACAUCUUUGACCUCUCCUUUUUGUAACUUCACAUAAAUAUAUGUGAAUAAAAUUGUAAUUUUAGGAAAGCAUUUUGAAAGAAAAAAAAAAUCAGUUUUUAGUAUAACUGAAAUUGAUAGUUUUAGAUACACUAGUGGUUAAACUUGUUUUACGGCAUGGACUAUGAGUUAAACAAAAAAAAGUAGGGAGUGUAUUUUAGCAAUCAAAAAUCAAAAUUAAGGAAGUUUGACGAUGCAAUAAAAUGUUAUUUUUUUUGUAUGAAGAUAAUAUAGUGUAUAUGCUUCAUUCUGAACUUCCACUGUUGAUAUAGUUAAAAGGUGAAGGGUAGUAGUUAAGUUGCCAGUUUGUAAGGAAUCGGUCAAAUCCAGUCACUCUGUUUUGGAAGCCAAUCUUCAGGCAAAGCUUGAAGUGUAGAUCUCAUUACCAACUAAGUAAUAAAAUGCUCUAAAAAAAAACUAAGUAAUAAAACAGUGCCAAGUUGUUUGAGAAACCAAUGGGGCAUAAAACAAAAGUUGGUUGAUACAUCCGUAAUAUUUUAAUUGUAGUUACAGGAAAACAAAAUUGCUGACAUCCUUGCCAAAGGAGCUAUAAAGUUCCCAGCUGAUGAAUUAAAGGUACUUGCUCUACUGUCAAGGAUGAGUGGCACUGCCUACUGUAACAAAACUGGUCAUCAAGAGCCAGCAUUUUGUAAAAUCACUUGCACCCAAUUAAGUUUUAGUGGUCGUUUGCGUUAAAAAAAGGAAGUGGUCAAUACUGUGAAAUAAAUAAAUAGUCUUUUGGCAGGAUAAGGCUGGACAUCGGUAUUGAGUAACCUUUCUACCACAAUAUAUUUCUGUACUUUUCCAAAAAAAAUGCGUGGCUACUUGAUGUAAUCCGUGUGUUUCAGAUGUGAGGAAGAAACACUCAUUUUUUGAAAUAUAUGUUUGCUAUUAUUUUGAAACUCCAGUGAUCUCUUGUGAGGAAUGUACGAUCAGGUACGAUAAAUGUGUAGUACAAGAAAAAUGAUAGUUGCAGCAUCUAUCUCAUUUGGCCAUUGAUUAAGGUUCAAACUUGCGCUAUCUCUUUCGAAACAUUCUUUGUAAACCUGUGGGCCAUGCACUAGGUUUACAUUGCCAUCCACUGAAGUGAUAGCACAAGAAAUCUUGCUCUAGUGUUUCAAAAGUGGGGACCUAGCACGUCAUGCCUUGGCCUGUAGUUGCUAGCCACAAGCCCACAACCAGAACCUUCAAGUCUUCCUUUUUCUGUACAAUAUCUGAACAAAUUAGUUAUUACUCGUGUUACUGGAUAUGUGCCUAAGAUCUAGGAAAUCAUCAAACAUAAUGCUUGACCUUCCUUUAAGCUCUUUGGGAGUGUGAGAGAUCAUUUUUGUGGUUAAAAACCAUGAAUAACUAGGAAAGGAAUUGCAAACAGAGAUUAGUUUGAGCAUGUAGGCCUCAAAAUUGGCUAAAAUUUUUUAUGCUCGUUUCAUUAUAUUUUUAGUCCCCACAGUGCUUCACACUAUGUGGUCAUAAUAAUCAAGUUAUCAAUUACUUAAGUGAAAAGUGGGGAUGGACUUCUGUGUUUGUGGCUAUUAGCGUGUUUGAGAAAAAUUUAUGGCUAUUAACUAUGAAAAACUGAAUCAAUACUUGUUACAUUUUUAUUAAAUGGCAGAUUUGCUGUAUCUAGAGCAAGAGAAUGAGAACUCAUGUAUGCUAGAAGGAAAACCUGUGCUCCUUCAAAAGUCUCAGUGCCAAUAUGUCCUGUCUAUUCUGAUGUUGUUUACUACUAUAUAUAUAAACUUCUGCCCAAAUGAUAGUUUC